RNAcentral lists this unclassified non-coding RNA (395 nucleotides) under Bombus terrestris (buff-tailed bumblebee). Its description in RNAcentral is "misc RNA ENSBTSG00005020135.1". The record is from RNAcentral. Lineage: Eukaryota; Metazoa; Arthropoda; Insecta; Hymenoptera; Apidae.
CACAGUUUUAUACCAAUUUGAAAAAUUUACCGUUCGCGAUGAACGAAAAGAAUGGUAUUGGAAAGUCUAAACCGAAACAGAACCGGCACCAGGGAGAAUCUGCGCCUGAACUGCCGGUCGGACAUAUUAACUGUUACAACAUGACCAGUUAACUGCGUUCGACGUCAAUUCAAAACAUUAUUCCAGUGUGGUUGACGUGUAUAUUCGUCAUUGCUUGAUUUUACCUGCGCAUCCCGUAAGGAAUUUUGAAACUAAACCCCACAGCUAACAAGUUAAUUAAUCUUCGCCAAAAGAACAUGUAUCGUAACUAGAUAACGGAAAUUGAAACUGCGAACAUGCGCUUAACAAAUGAAACUGAAAAUCUUUUCUCGAAACUGCAACCAGUUAACCCACGC